GAGUUGUUUUAUCACGAUGUGCUUGCUGCCCUGGACUUCUUUGGGAGGACAUGUGAAUAAAUACACGGGACCUCUUCAUGGCUGUUUGGCCUGGCCUGGCUUGCAAUUCAUUGCAUCAGCCACCCAGCCCAAUACGACAAUGGCACAUGAAAGGACCAUACCCCAAACCUGAAAAGGAUUGUAGCGUAAAGAAAACAUGAAUUGGUAGAUGCAGUGGCUAGUGGAUACAGAACGAAGUCAAAUCGAUGCUAGCCUGUUAGGUCAAUGGAAUGCUUUGGAACCAGCACCAGCCAACAGAUCCCAUCCCUACUGAGUGAUAUGGUUGUAAAAAACCCACCACCAUAAAAGCACAAUCCAACUUACAUUAUGAUUGGAUAAACCAAUCCAAAGUGGAAAUCCAUCUCUUUUUACAAUAUUUUCCAGGAACACUUGCUGCGAUUCACUGUGUACAGUGGCUAAAUCACUGCCAUUUUGUUUGCAUUCUCUCCAUGCAUCAUACCAACUGAGUUGUUUUUGAAGUACCCAGUAUGUGUUGUUUCCAUGGGGUAGUAUCUUAGGCAGUGGUGGAUUGUAUUCUUUGGGUCCUAUUUCAAUAUUACAACAAGGAUAAAAGUUUUGUUUUAGUUUAGGCAAAUGGAACAGAAAUAUCAAUAGGUGUUUUGGAAAUUCAAUUGAAAUUACAGAUGUCCCUUACCCAUUUCUAUUUUACAGACAAGGAUGCUGUGUAGGUUAAAUUGCACAGGCAGCCACUUAUCAGUGUAAUUGUAAAUAUCCCAGGCACCAUCUAGGCCAAUACCAGCAACAAACAUAUUAUUCUUUAUGUAAGGUCUCCCCAGUCUCCAGUUAUUGUAUGAUAGGUAUGUAUCAUCAUCCCACUUUAGAGUGUCAUCUGUGAAGAAAACAAACACAAAGAUUCCGUAAUGAGGUCUGAUUUUAUUUAAUGACAGGACAGUGCUGAAAUCAGCCUACACAGGGUUAAUAUUAACAUUACUAGAGGGACACUAUUAACCAGCACUUGGCCUAGAAAUGGAAGGAUAUACCUUUGUGCCUGCUAUUUGGAUGUGGUAUGGUUUGUUGAAGGUCUCAAAACAUUUUGCUUGAAGCUUUCCUGCUUUAGAAUAGUCUCUUAGCAAAAUCAAAUCCAGGAGAAACUAGAUUAAUGAAUCCACGUGCCCCAAU
This is a long non-coding RNA of Rhineura floridana, 1179 nucleotides long. RefSeq lists it as uncharacterized. The record is from RefSeq and is a predicted model, not a curated record. The transcript has 3 exons. Lineage: Eukaryota; Metazoa; Chordata; Lepidosauria; Squamata; Rhineuridae.